Molecule: ribosomal RNA, 444 nt
Filed under: bacterium WCD3004
Lineage: Bacteria
Description: bacterial SSU rRNA
Rfam family: Bacterial small subunit ribosomal RNA
Source: RNAcentral
GAUGAACGCUGGCGGCGUGCCUAACACAUGCAAGUCGAGCGGAGUUAUGAGAGGUGCUUGCACCACUUUUAACUUAGCGGCGGACGGGUGAGUAACACGUGAGUAACCUGCCCUCGAGUGGGGAACAACAUCGAGAAAUCGGUGCUAAUACCGCAUAAUAUCGGAGAUCCGCAUGCUUCUCCGAUCAAAGGAUUUAUUCGCUUGAGGAUGGACUCGCGUCCGAUUAGUUAGUUGGUGAGGUAACGGCCCACCAAGACAUCGAUCGGUAGCCGAACUGAGAGGUUGAUCGGCCACAUUGGGACUGAGACACGGCCCAGACUCCUACGGGAGGCAGCAGUGGGGAAUAUUGGGCGAAUGGGCGAAAGCCUGACCCAGCAACGCCGCGUGAAGGAUGAAGGUUCUUCGGAUUGUAAACUUCUUUGAUCAGGGACGAAACAAAUGACG